This 429-nucleotide ribosomal RNA is filed under the name Fusobacteriota bacterium. RNAcentral describes it as "Fusobacteria bacterium partial 16S ribosomal RNA". It matches the Rfam family "Bacterial small subunit ribosomal RNA", at positions 355 to 776 of the family's 1533-position model. The record is from RNAcentral. Lineage: Bacteria; Fusobacteriati; Fusobacteriota.
AGGGGGAUAUUGCACAAGGGGCGAAAGCCUGAUGCAGCGAAGCCGCGAGGGGGAUGAAGGCCUUCGGGGUGUAAAGUACUUUUAGCGGGGAGGAAGGGAGUAAAGUUAAUACCUGUGCUCAUUGACGUUACCCGCAGAAGAAGCACCGGCUAACUCCGUGCCAGCAGCCGCGGUAAUACGGAGGGUGCAAGCGUUAAUCGGAAUUACUGGGCGUAAAGCGCACGCAGGCGGUUUGUUAAGUCAGAUGUGAAAUCCCCGGGCUCAACCUGGGAACUGCAUCUGAUACUGGCAAGCUUGAGUCUCGUAGAGGGGGGUAGAAUUCCAGGUGUAGCGGUGAAAUGCGUAGAGAUCUGGAGGAAUACCGGUGGCGAAGGCGGCCCCCUGGACGAAGACUGACGCUCAGGUGCGAAAGCGUGGGGAGCAAACAGG